GACGAACGCUGGCGGCGUGCCUAAUACAUGCAAGUUGAGCGCUGAAGGUUGGUACUUGUACCAACUGGAUGAGCAGCGAACGGGUGAGUAACGCGUGGGGAAUCUGCCUUUGAGCGGGGGACAACAUUUGGAAACGAAUGCUAAUACCGCAUAAAAACUUUAAACACAAGUUUUAAGUUUGAAAGAUGCAAUUGCAUCACUCAAAGAUGAUCCCGCGUUGUAUUAGCUAGUUGGUGAGGUAAAGGCUCACCAAGGCGAUGAUACAUAGCCGACCUGAGAGGGGGAUCGGCCACAUUGGGACUGAGACACGGCCCAAACUCCUACGGGAGGCAGCAGUAGGGAAUCUUCGGCAAUGGACGAAAGUCUGACCGAGCAACGCCGCGUGAGUGAAGAAGGUUUUCGGAUCGUAAAACUCUGUUGGUAGAGAAGAACGUUGGUGAGAGUGGAAAGCUCAUCAAGUGACGGUAACUACACAGAAAGGGACGGCUAACUACGUG
This 497-nucleotide ribosomal RNA is filed under the name uncultured bacterium. RNAcentral describes it as "partial 16S ribosomal RNA". It matches the Rfam family "Bacterial small subunit ribosomal RNA", at positions 28 to 507 of the family's 1533-position model. The record is from RNAcentral.